UUUCCGUAGGUGAACCUGCGGAAGGAUCAUUAAAAAUGAAGCCGGGAAACCGGUCCUUCUAACCCUUGAUUAUCUUAAUUUGUUGCUUUGGUGGGCCGCGCAAGCACCGGCUUCGGCUGGAUCGUGCCCGCCAGAGGACACAACUCUGUAUCAAAUGUCGCCUGAGUACUAUAAAAUAGUUAAAACUCUCAACAACGGAUCUCUUGGUUCUG
Molecule: unclassified non-coding RNA, 212 nt
Filed under: plant metagenome
Description: partial contains small subunit ribosomal RNA, internal transcribed spacer 1, and 5.8S ribosomal RNA
Source: RNAcentral